RNAcentral lists this ribosomal RNA (253 nucleotides) under uncultured bacterium. RNAcentral's name for it is "partial 16S ribosomal RNA". It matches the Rfam family "Bacterial small subunit ribosomal RNA", at positions 524 to 776 of the family's 1533-position model. The record is from RNAcentral.
UACGUAGGGACCAAGCGUUGUUCGGAUUUACUGGGCGUAAAGGGCGCGUAGGCGGCGCGGUAAGUCACUUGUGAAAUCUCUGAGCUUAACUCAGAACGGCCAAGUGAUACUGCAGCGCUAGAGUGUGGAAGGGGCAAUCGGAAUUCUUGGUGUAGCGGUGAAAUGCGUAGAUAUCAAGAGGAACACCUGAGGUGAAGACGGGUUGCUGGGCCAACACUGACGCUGAGGCGCGAAAGCCAGGGGAGCAAACGGG